GCAGCCACAGGAAACCAACUCAAGCAGCGACUAGAUCAGAUUGGUGGAACAUCAAGUGGUUUCUACCACGUUCCCCUUGACCUUCCCUUCUACAGCCUGGCCUGAUUCGGGGGUCACGAGGCAGGAGAACCAUGGGCAAGAGGGAGCUCGGAGUGCGUGGGAGGUAAAGAUGUUGAAAUUCCUGGGGCUGCCCUGUGGCCAAGUGGUUAAGUUCGCGCGCUGCUUUGGCGCCCAGGGUUUGCCAGUUUGGAUCCUGGGCGCAGACAUGGCACCGCUCAUCAGGCCCUGCUGAGGCAGCGUCCCACAUGCCACAACUAGAAGGACCCACAACUAAAAAUAUACAACUAUGUACCAGGGGGCUUUGGGGAGA
This 370-nucleotide long non-coding RNA is filed under the name Equus caballus (horse). RNAcentral's name for it is "lncRNA (ENSECAG00000059622.1)". Lineage: Eukaryota; Metazoa; Chordata; Mammalia; Perissodactyla; Equidae. The record is from RNAcentral.